GCAGUUGUGGCCGAGUGGUUAAGGCGUUAGACUCGAAAUCUAAUGGGCUAUGCCCGCGCAGGUUCGAAUCCUGCCGACUGCG
This 82-nucleotide transfer RNA is filed under the name Tigriopus californicus. RNAcentral's name for it is "tRNA-Ser for anticodon CGA". It matches the Rfam family "tRNA". Rfam says of the family: Transfer RNA (tRNA) molecules are approximately 80 nucleotides in length. The record is from Rfam by way of RNAcentral. Lineage: Eukaryota; Metazoa; Arthropoda; Copepoda; Harpacticoida; Harpacticidae.